This 465-nucleotide ribosomal RNA is filed under the name uncultured bacterium. Its description in RNAcentral is "partial 16S ribosomal RNA". It matches the Rfam family "Bacterial small subunit ribosomal RNA", at positions 28 to 507 of the family's 1533-position model. The record is from RNAcentral.
GACGAACGCUGGCGGCGUGCUUAACACAUGCAAGUCGAACGGAAAGGCCCUGCUUGCCGGGUACUCGAGUGGCGAACGGGUGAGUAACACGUGGGUGAUCUGCCCUGCACUUCGGGAUAAGCCUGGGAAACUGGGUCUAAUACCGGAUAGGAGCCAUUUUUAGUGUGAUGGUUGGAAAGUUUUUUCGGUGUAGGAUGAGCUCGCGGCCUAACAGCUUGUUGGUGGGGUAAUGGCCUACCAAGGCGGCGACGGGUAGCCGGCCUGAGGGGGUGGACGGCCACAUUGGGACUGAGAUACGGCCCAGGCUCCUACGGGAGGAAGGAGUGGGGAAUAUUGCACAAUGGGCGCAAGCCGGAUGCAGCGAGGCCGCGUGGGGGAAGACGGCCUUCGGGUUGGAAAAUCCUUUCGCUAGGGACGAAGCUUUUUGUGACGGUACCUAGAGAAGAAGCACCGGCUAACUACGUG